AUACGGAGGGUGCGAGCGUUAAUCGGAAUUACUGGGCGUAAAGCGCGCGUAGGCGGUUUGUUAAGUCGGAUGUGAAAUCCCCGGGCUCAACCUGGGACCUGCAUCCGAUACUGGCAGGCUCGAGUCUGGUAGAGGGGGGUAGAAUUCCUGGUGUAGCGGUGAAAUGCGUAGAUAUCAGGAGGAAUACCAGUGGCGAAGGCGGCCCCCUGGACUGAGACUGACGCUGAGGUGCGAAAGCGUGGGGAGCAAACAGGAUUAGAAACCCUAGUAGUCC
RNAcentral lists this ribosomal RNA (274 nucleotides) under uncultured bacterium. Its description in RNAcentral is "partial 16S ribosomal RNA". It matches the Rfam family "Bacterial small subunit ribosomal RNA", at positions 523 to 796 of the family's 1533-position model. The record is from RNAcentral.